Molecule: ribosomal RNA, 326 nt
Filed under: uncultured bacterium
Lineage: Bacteria
Description: bacterial SSU rRNA
Rfam family: Bacterial small subunit ribosomal RNA
Source: RNAcentral
AUUGAACGCUGGCGGCAUGCCUUACACAUGCAAGUCGAACGGCAGCACGGGAGCAAUCCUGGUGGCGAGUGGCGAACGGGUGAGUAAUAUAUCGGAACGUGCCCAGUCGUGGGGAUAACGUAGCGAAAGCUACGCUAAUACCGCAUACGAUCUAUGGAUGAAAGCGGGGGAUCGCAAGACCUCGCGCGAUUGGAGCGGCCGAUAUCAGAUUAGGUAGUUGGUGAGGUAAAGGCUCACCAAGCCGACGAUCUGUAGCUGGUCUGAGAGGACGACCAGCCACACGUCGGGACUGACGACGACGGCCAGACCUCCGUACGGGAGGCAGC